CGGUAGCUCAGUUGGUAGAGCGGUCGGCUGUUAACCGAUUAGUCGUAGGUUCGAGUCCUACCC
This 63-nucleotide transfer RNA is filed under the name marine eukaryotic metagenome. It matches the Rfam family "tRNA", at positions 6 to 65 of the family's 71-position model. From Rfam's summary of the family: Transfer RNA (tRNA) molecules are approximately 80 nucleotides in length. Their secondary structure includes four short double-helical elements and three loops (D, anti-codon, and T loops). The record is from RNAcentral.